RNAcentral lists this long non-coding RNA (530 nucleotides) under Bos taurus (domestic cattle). RNAcentral's name for it is "long non-coding RNA NONBTAT012644". The record is from RNAcentral. Lineage: Eukaryota; Metazoa; Chordata; Mammalia; Artiodactyla; Bovidae.
GCAAACACCUUGCAACAAGAGGAGAAACCACUUUUAGUUAGGAGUGAGAGGCUGUCAUUAGGAAGAGUGUUUCCUUCUCAGACGGAUGAUGGAAAUGGGUGACCUUGAGCAAAAAAGUCCACCCAUUACUGCCAUUCCUCCAUUUUUAAAGGAAAAAAUGCUUCACUGUAAUAUACUUGCUUCAGAGUAUUUGUACAUAUUUUAAGAGUUCUUAGAGGAAUUUUGGAAGAACCAGAGUAAAUAACACAAACCAAAAUGAGGCUCUGUUAUUUAAGUUUAUGACGAACUCAUGGGGCAUUGCUUUUACAGUAAUACAUGAUGGUAGUUGCCCUGGAUUCUUUUAAGUAAGAAAAGCAAAUCAUCUGCUUUCUUACUAGAAUAUGACCGUGUGUGUGUGUGUGAAUCUCACCAUACAUAUACAAUAGAAAAACAUGAUUAAAGGAAAGAAAUCUUCCCUAUAAACAUAAGAUGUGGAUGUUAUGGAUAUAUUCAUAGAGUCACACUUGUGUGCACUGAAGUGGCUCUACUUC